Hirundo rustica (Barn swallow) is the source of this 1449-nucleotide RNA transcript. It is a transcript of the gene named transmembrane protein 167A, with no coding region annotated. The transcript has 6 exons. NCBI's taxonomy places the organism in Eukaryota, Metazoa, Chordata, Aves, Passeriformes, Hirundinidae. The record is from RefSeq and is a predicted model, not a curated record.
CCGCCCGUCGCGGCGGCCGGAAGGUGAUGUGGCGGAGCGCGGCGCGAUGUCUGCCAUCUUCAACUUCCAGAGUCUGCUGACUGUGAUCCUGCUGCUCAUAUGUACCUGUGCCUAUGUCAGAUCCUUGGCUCCCAGCUUACUGGACAAAAAUAAAACCGGACUGUUGGGGAUAUUCUGGAAAUGCGCCAGGAUCGGUGAGCGGAAGAGCCCCUAUGUGGCCGUGUGCUGUGUGGUGAUGGCCUUCAGUAUCCUGUUCAUGCAGUAGCAGCUGGAGAGUGUCCCCAACAGCAGAUCCUCUGUAAGGAAAGGAUUCGAAGCCUCACCAAGUCUCUUCUCACAUGAUGGAUAACCUAUCUCCUGGUGGACACCCCUGCAGACGGACCAGCAUUAGUGAUCAUAACCCAGAUGUGAUGUGCUUGUUAAUGCCAGAGAUCAAAACCUGCCUCUGGUUUCCUAUCUGCUCUGUGGGUCCCUGUUGACAUCCACACACAGCAAAGGGCAGCACCUGGAGCUCCAGCCCACCUCCUGAGCCCAUCCCUGAAAGGUCAGGGAUGACCUUUCCAGCUUUCCAGCAUCAGUGUCCAGCUUGGCCUUGAACAUCGAACACCACGAGAGAGAGAGAGAGACAAAGACCCCGAGCAGAUUUAACCCUUGCGUAGCAACAUGAAGCUUCCAGAGCUUGGCCCUUCUCUGACAGAGUAAGAAAGGACAGAGUGAACAUAAAGAACAACAGCAUGAAGUCAGUCGAAAGAGUGAAAAGACUAUUGGGACAGAGGGUUGAAGAGUUGGUUGUUCCCUUCUUACUUGAGCCAUGGAAAUGAACUCUAUAUUUAGAUCAUUCCUUUAAAUCAUGGGAAAGAUGCAUUUGGGGAGAUGAUUGUUUCAAUUUGUGUGUGAAUUUGAGCAAAGGUGUUUGUGAUGAACUAAGUAAUAUCCUAUAAGAUGCUUGAACAGAGAUAAAGAUGAGAAGCCUCCUGCACCAGUGAAGAAGUGAGAAGAUAUCUCUGUACUUUGGGGUGAAGAACCCUUUGCUUUAGAGUUAUUCAUCUUUAAAAGCUGACACCCCAGUAUGCAAAAGUCUAAGACCCAUGACCCAUAAGCAGCUUGGGAACCUGCUCCUGGGAGGGUCUCAAAGGCAGGUUUCCCUGGGUGGCUGUUUUUGUGACAGUUUAAAACCCACAAGAGAACUGUUCUAAGUUGUCAGUGGCAUCCAUGACUCUAAAAGAUACUCUUCUCCUAAUGAAUUGAUGAAAGACUAUUGUCAGAUGGUGAAACUGACUGAAAAUUACAAGUUUUGUCUCUUUAUGUUGUUCUGUUAAAAAAUGAACAGUUUGUAAGGGGAGGGAAGAGUGGGUUUGAAUUUUCAUUCCGUUUUAGUCGGUUUUUUCCAACUUUCUUUUUUUUCUAUUCUUUUAGUGUAUGCUAAUAAAGCUAUUUGUUAAUUUUAAA